GGUCCAAUGGUCUAGAGGUAUGAUUCACCCUUAGGGCUUAGGUCAUACUGGGUGAGGUCCCGCGUUCGAUUCGCGGUUGGACCC
This 84-nucleotide transfer RNA is filed under the name Pterulicium gracile. Its description in RNAcentral is "Pterula gracilis tRNA-Pro". The record is from RNAcentral. Lineage: Eukaryota; Fungi; Basidiomycota; Agaricomycetes; Agaricales; Pterulaceae.